UACGAAGGGGGCUAGCGUUGUUCGGAAUUACUGGGCGUAAAGCGCGCGCAGGCGGUUCUUCAAGUCAGAGGUGAAAGCCCAGAGCUCAACUCUGGAAUGGCCUUUGAGACUAGAGAACUAGGGUACGGGAGAGGUGAGUGGAAUUCCGAGUGUAGAGGUGAAAUUCGUAGAUAUCAGGAGGAACACCGGUGGCGAAGGCGGAUCUCUGGGCCAUUACUGACGCUGAGGAGCGAAAGCUAGGGGAGCAAACGGG
Molecule: ribosomal RNA, 253 nt
Filed under: uncultured bacterium
Lineage: Bacteria
Description: partial 16S ribosomal RNA
Rfam family: Bacterial small subunit ribosomal RNA
Source: RNAcentral